CGUGUAGGCGGCGGAUUUAGUUAGGCGUGAAAGCCCCGGGCUCAACCUGGGAACUGCGCCUAAUACUGAUCUGCUAGAGUCCGGGAGAGGCGAGUGGAAUAUCCAGUGUAGAGGUGAAAUUCGUAGAUAUUGGAUGGAACACCAGUGGCGAAGGCGGCUCGCUGGACCGGAACUGACGCUGAGGCGCGAAAGCGUGGGGAGCAAACAGGAUUAGAUACCCUGGUAGUCC
Molecule: ribosomal RNA, 229 nt
Filed under: uncultured bacterium
Lineage: Bacteria
Description: partial 16S ribosomal RNA
Rfam family: Bacterial small subunit ribosomal RNA
Source: RNAcentral